Molecule: ribosomal RNA, 496 nt
Filed under: uncultured bacterium
Lineage: Bacteria
Description: partial 16S ribosomal RNA
Rfam family: Bacterial small subunit ribosomal RNA
Source: RNAcentral
AUGAACGCUGGCGGCGUGCCUAAUACCUGCAAGUCGAGCGAACAGAUGAGGAGCUUGCUCCUCUGACGUUAGCGGCGGACGGGUGAGUAACACGUGGAUAACCUACCUAUAAGACUGGGAUAACUUCGGGAAACCGGAGCUAAUACCGGAUAAUAUAUUGAACCGCAUGGUUCAAUAGUGAAAGACGGUUUUGCUGUCACUUAUAGAUGGAUCCGCGCCGCAUUAGCUAGUUGGUAAGGUAACGGCUUACCAAGGCAACGAUGCGUAGCCGACCUGAGAGGGUGAUCGGCCCCACUGGAACUGAGACCCGGUCCAGACUCCUACGGGAGGCAGCAGUAGGGAAUCUUCCGCAAUGGGCGAAAGCCUGACGGAGCAACGCCGCGUGAGUGAUGAAGGUCUUCGGAUCGUAAAACUCUGUUAUUAGGGAAGAACAAAUGUGUAAGUAACUAUGCACGUCUUGACGGUACCUAAUCAGAAAGCCACGGCUAACUACGUG